Molecule: ribosomal RNA, 468 nt
Filed under: uncultured bacterium
Lineage: Bacteria
Description: partial 16S ribosomal RNA
Rfam family: Bacterial small subunit ribosomal RNA
Source: RNAcentral
GACGAACGCUGGCGGCGUGCUUAACACAUGCAAGUCGAACGGAAAGGCCCUGCUUUUGUGGGGUGCUCGAGUGGCGAACGGGUGAGUAACACGUGAGUAACCUGCCCUUGACUUUGGGAUAACUUCAGGAAACUGGGGCUAAUACCGGAUAGGAGCUCCUGCUGCAUGGUGGGGGUUGGAAAGUUUCGGCGGUUGGGGAUGGACUCGCGGCUUAUCAGCUUGUUGGUGGGGUAGUGGCUUACCAAGGCUUUGACGGGUAGCCGGCCUGAGAGGGUGACCGGCCACAUUGGGACUGAGAUACGGCGCAGACUCCUACGGGAGGCAGCAGUGGGGAAUAUUGCACAAUGGGCGGAAGCCUGAUGCAGCAACGCCGCGUGCGGGAUGACGGCCUUCGGGUUGGAAACCGAUUUCGCCUGUGACGAAGCGUGAGUGACGGUAAUGGGUAAAGAAGCACCGGCUAACUACGUG